RNAcentral lists this long non-coding RNA (222 nucleotides) under Elaeis guineensis (African oil palm). RNAcentral describes it as "long non-coding RNA (EGUI_LNC059665)". The record is from RNAcentral. Lineage: Eukaryota; Viridiplantae; Streptophyta; Magnoliopsida; Arecales; Arecaceae.
GGCCUGGAUAGUUUUACAUUAAGAUUACAUCUUAGGUUAUGAUUAGAUUAUAUUGGAUCAAAAUUGAUGUAGCUAUUGAUCAAAUCGAAUCAAAUAUUGAUUUGGGUUAGAUCAAUUGAGCUUAUGAUUCUACGAGUGUUGUAGAUUGAGUUGAUUAAACCCUAUAUGUAGAAUCCAGUCAAUUUAAGGACUUAAUUUGACUUUAUGGCUCAAACUCGAUUC